UUUUUUUUUUUUUUUUGUCUUUUUGCCAUUUCUUGGACCGCUCCCGCAGCAUAUGGAGGUUCCCAGGCUAGGGGUCUAAUCAGAGCUGUAGCCACCAGCCUACGCCAGAGCCACAGCAACGCGGGAUCCGAGCCCCAUCUGUGACCUACACCACAGCUCAUGGUAACGCCGGAUCGUUAACCCACUGAGCAAGGGCAGGAAUCGAACCUGCCCGCAACCUCAUGGUUCCUAGUCGGAUUCAUUAACCGCUGAGCCACGACGGGAACUCCUCCACAUUUUCUUAUAUCUUUAAUAAUUAUGUUUGUGUGUAUGUAGAGUUAUGAGGGAUACCUGUCAAGAUAGAACAGCUUUUUUGCUUCUUGGUGAAAGAAGCUGCCAGCCACUUUUCUGCUAGGAUACUACAAAGAUCAAUUUGGAGCAGAUUUUCCUAAUUCUGAGAAUUUCCUGAAGAUCACUUCUUAUUAUCCAAAUGGAAGAAGUAGGAACCCAUUGACUCAGGAAAAGUAUGUACCAGAAUAUUUUGUGAUGUUUUAAAGUUUUCUCUGUGUAUCUUUUGCUAUGAAAGCUUAGAGAAAUGUGGAGUACAUUUGCAUUAUGAAAGACUUCUAGGAAGAAAUAGAAUGUCCCUGUUUCAUUUGAGACUACCUUAUCACAACAUCAGAUAGAUUGAGUUGAUUUCAUCUAAGUUCACCUGGGUCUCCAAAGGAGCAUCUUUCUACAGGUAAGACAGAUAUUUGAUGAGCGAAUUGUAGGAAAUCAUGAAGGAAAGUUCAUUCCAUUAAUAGUGUGUGCCUGGGAGACCUCCCUGUCAUGAGGUCUGACUGAAAGGGUAAAUGGAGAUUUGUAACUUUGGAAGUCUGUGUACCCUACAGCUUGUGGUGCAUCACUGGGAGUGUAAAAAGGCUCAAAUGAAUGCACUAGACAAGAUCACUGAAGUGCAGUGAGUUUGUGUGGUGGUGACAGCAGAAAUGACAAUUGACUCUUGGGGCCAAUAUGAAACUGGCUAGACAGCUUGAAUGCCUUCUCUUCUUCCUCCUUUAAUCUUUCUCUUUCCUUUCUUCCUUCUCUCCUUCCUUACCUCCUUCCUUUCCCAUGUUAAUUUUCCUGCUAAGGUAACUGAGAAACAGAGAUGACUCCUUUUGACUGCGUAAGUGUCCACAGUUCCUGACAACUUGGUUAAGGGGAAAGUUUUCAAGAGGUAAUAACUGGCCCUAUGGGGGAUUGAAGGAUUAAUUUAAACAUUAAAAAGAUUUAUGAUCUUAAUUAUACCUUAAGCUGAUGACGCAGGCCACAUUGACUUUACCAGACUUCCCCCGCCCCCGCCAAAAAAACCCCCAAGCUUAGAGUCAUUCCUAAGAAUUCUGCUUUUCUUUCUGCUUUCUAGCUUCCAAACUUUGUCAAGAAUAAAAUUAUCUUUAAAAUAAAUUGUUCCACACCAUCCAGUGGGGGUUCGGAUGUCAAUAACAUGUCUAAAGACAGAAUGAAACAAUCAGAAGAGAAGAGGGAUCAGCAGAGAAAACAAGGGUGGGAAAGUGGAGCUCUGGCAACUUCUAUCCCUGUGGAGGGAAGGCUGGCUCGUGGACUUGUCAGACAUCUUGGCAGAAAAGUAUCUCCGUUUUCAGUCAACUUUUCUUAGCCAGACAACAUUGAACAAUCAAAUCAAAUCAUUAACUCCAUCCAUUUUCAAAUUCCAUGUUCAUGAAGCAAAUUUCUAAUUAUGGCCUCCCCAUNNNNNNNNNNNNNNNNNNNNNNNNNNNNNNNNNNNNNAGAAUUCACUGAAUAAAGUAGAUAUUAAACUGGAAUCCUUGGUGGCAGAGGAUGGCAGCAUCCAAGUGGAGCUUUGAAAACACUGCUUUUAAAAUUAAAAGAAAAAACUACAUUGGAAAAUGUAAAAAUAUAUGACAAUAUCAUUCUUGGUUCACACUAAAAUGGAUGAUUGAUUUCAGCUCUCAGACAAUAAAGGCAGGAAAAAAAACCUUGUGCUUUAAAAACAAAAAUCCUUUAUUUUUUUUGAGAGAACCUAUGUGAGAUUCUGAGGAUAUAGCAGCGAACAAGAUGGCUGUUUGCUGCCCCUGUGGAGAAGAAUUCUACUGGAGGAAAACUGAUUAUAUAACAGUACUUAAUAAUUAAAUAUAACACUUUAUAACAAAAGUGAGACUAACAGAUAAAAAGUGCUAAUAAAAUGUGGAAUUUGGUACCUGUCCUAGUCUGUGGGGCUAGGGAAGGCUUUGUUGAAGAAAUAACUGUAACCUGGGAUAUGAAGUCUCAGGAAAGAAGAGGAUUCGUAGUGGCAGAGGACAAAGGGGAAAUAUUCUGGAUCAUAUUAGUCAAGGUUCUUGGUUGCAAACAAUACUAGCCAACUGACUGGCUAGAAGAUUAAAAAACAAAUUAUUAAAAAAAUAUUGGGCUUAUCUCUGAAUCAGUUGGGAGACUGUGAAAUAGGAUUAGUGAAUGAGAAAGAACCAAAAAAAUCUAAGACAAUGGGAAACACAAUUCAGAACACACCAGGGUAAUUGUUGCCUGAGAUGCUGUAACUGCUGCUGUCCCCACUUGGUAUUUGUGCUGAGCUGUAAUUCAUCUUCUCCUGUCACUGUGUCCUUGUUUCACUUCCAUGUUUGGCAGGAGCAUCUGACUGGCCAAGUAUGGUAGCUAUUUUUUAAGAUGACUCCUAUUCAUGACAUUGCUUGGUAUUCAAGCCCUUGUUUGGCCCCCUCUCAUAGUGUAUUAGGGUUGGUCUUUGUGACCAGUAGAAUGUAGCAGAAGUGGGAGUUCCCAUUGUGGUGCAGUGGAAAUGUAUCCAACUAGUAUUCAUGAGGCCACAGGUUCGGUCCCUGGCCUCGCUCAGUGCGUUAAGAAUCUGGUGUUGCCAUGAGCCGAGGCGUAGGCUGCAGAUGUGGCUUGGCUCUGGUGUUGCUAUGGCUGUGGUGUAGGUCAACAGCUACAGCUCCCAUUUAACCGCUAGCCUGGGAACUUCCAUAUG
Molecule: long non-coding RNA, 2980 nt
Filed under: Sus scrofa (pig)
Lineage: Eukaryota; Metazoa; Chordata; Mammalia; Artiodactyla; Suidae
Description: lncRNA (ENSSSCG00005041908.1)
Source: RNAcentral